GGAUUUAGUGGCGGACGGGUGAGUAACGCGUGAGAAUCUGGCUUCAGGUCUGGGACAACCACUGGAAACGGUGGCUAAUACCGGAUGUGCCCUUCGGGGUGAAAGAUUAAUUGCCUGAAGAUGAGCUCGCGUCUGAUUAGCUAGUUGGAAGUGUAAUGGACUCCCAAGGCGACGAUCAGUAGCUGGUCUGAGAGGACGAUCAGCCACACUGGGACUGAGACACGGCCCAGACUCCUACGGGAGGCAGCAGUGGGGAAUUUUCCGCAAUGGGCGAAAGCCUGACGGAGCAAUACCGCGUGAGGGAGGAAGGCUCUUGGGUCGUAAACCUCUUUUCUCAGGGAAGAACACAAUGACGGUACCUGAGGAAUAAGCAUCGGCUAACUCCGUGCCAGCAGCCGCGGUAAUACGGAGGAUGCAAGCGUUAUCCGGAAUGAUUGGGCGUAAAGCGUCCGCAGGUGGCAAUGUAAGUCUGCUGUUAAAGAGUCUAGCUCAACUAGAUAAAAGCAGUGGAAACUACAUAGCUAGAGUACGUUCGGGGCAGAGGGAAUUCCUGGUGUAGCGGUGAAAUGCGUAGAGAUCAGGAAGAACACCAGUGGCGAAGGCGCUCUGCUAGGCCGUAACUGACACUGAGGGACGAAAGCUAGGGGAGCGAAUGGGAUUAGAUACCCCAGUAGUCCUAGCCGUAAACGAUGGAUACUAGGCGUG
Molecule: ribosomal RNA, 705 nt
Filed under: Nostoc sp. 'Peltigera sp. N41 cyanobiont'
Lineage: Bacteria; Bacillati; Cyanobacteriota; Cyanophyceae; Nostocales; Nostocaceae
Also listed under: 4 other names
Description: bacterial SSU rRNA
Rfam family: Bacterial small subunit ribosomal RNA
Source: RNAcentral